UGAUUUUAUUUCUUGCGCGUGCGUGUGUGUUAGGAGGAGAGUAUGAGUGCGUAUUACGUUUGAGCAGGCGUGAGGUUUUUAUCUUUCAUUAAGAACAUAAAAUUGCCUUUUCUGAACAUCAAGCUAUUAAAAGAAAUCGAUAAAGGGAGGUAACACAAAUCUGUAUUACUCUUUAAGGUCGCAAGAGUUAUUCUUUCCCGCAGCAGUGUACGUGUAUACGAAGCAUAUCUUUUCGGGAAAGUUUUUAGUUUCUGGAUGAUAGAGCUUAAAUAACAAUUGUGCGUUGGGAGGACAGUUUGAGUGUGUAAACGGAGACUUUUUUUUUUAAAGACUGUGCCAUAAAAUUUCUUAUUUGCACGUCAAGCUCAAUGUAACAUUGCUAGGGGAGAUAAAGCACAUUUAUGUUGCACUUUAAGAUCGCCGGAGUUAUUUUUGCCGACAACAUGUUUACGUUGCACCUUUAUCAAGACUGCACUGACAACCAACGUGAUAACAGCAAAAGCACCUAUAACUCCCCCAGCAACAGGUCCUGCUACUUCAGACUUUGAUUGCCCUGUGGAGAACAACAUUUUAUGAGUUACAAUGUCGUCUGCUUUGUUGUCGAUCUUAAAACUCAGCACUCGGGAUGCAUCUGUCAACAGGACGAAAAAACUGUGCAUUCAUCACUGUUUUUAAUGAUUUUUUUUAUUAUGGUAUAUAACAUGAGUAUGUAAAUACAAAAAAAGUUAUGAGUAAAAUCAUCCACCUGUAGAAGUAUUAUUAUUAAAAUUUGACUGGUAUUGCAUAAUUUAUUGUUUGAUUCCUAUUGUCAACAUAUGGGAACUUAAGUUUUUAAAAUGAACAUUCAAAAGUCUUUUUAUUAAUUUUUAAAUUGUGUGGUAUUUCUAAAUAUUUGAGUUAUAGUUAAUUCUUUAUCUUAAUGAGUAUCUGUUAAUGUGUCUGUCAGACAUAAGCAAUCAAUAUUUAUGAUCAUUAUUUUUAAUCUUCAAAAAUAAUUUGAAACAUAGAUGACUUCAAUGUGUAUAUCAAUGAGAUGAUUGCAGGAAUGAGUGGGAUAGAACUGAUUACACGGAAAGAAAAUGAAUGGGACUGGCUCAAAACCAAAACAAAUAUUGAAGAAAAAUGAAUCCUUAGAAAA
Molecule: long non-coding RNA, 1138 nt
Organism: Pomacea canaliculata
Lineage: Eukaryota; Metazoa; Mollusca; Gastropoda; Architaenioglossa; Ampullariidae
Exons: 3
Source: RefSeq, a predicted model, not a curated record